AUGGGAUUUUUGCUCCUUGUAAUUUUCGUUGUAGCCGCUUUGGAAGGUGCCCGGUCCCAGGUGCAGCUGGUGGAGUCCGGCGGGGAUGUGAAAAAGCCCGGAGACUCUCUCCGCCUCUCCUGCAAAGCCUCCGGGAUCACCUUGAGCAGCUACAGUAUGAGCUGGGUCCGGCAGGCUCCUGGCAAGGGACUAGAAUGGGUCGCUUUUAUAAGGUACGAUGGGAGUGAUAAAUACUACCCUGAUUCAGUGAAAGGCCGAUUCACCAUCUCCAGGGAUAAUUCCAAGAGUGAGCUGUAUCUGCAAAUGACCGGCCUGAAGCCCGAGGACACCGCCCGCUAUUACUGUGCGAGACACAGUGACACGAAACCGGCAGCACCCGGAGACACAGUUCGCAGUCCCCUGGGUCUGAGCAGUGACGGCCUGGCCAAUCCUCCUGAGAAACUUCCCCUCCAGCAGCAGGGAAACUGAGACUUUGGCUCCAUUUGGUUUUCAUUCUACA
This is a non-coding RNA of Mauremys mutica (yellowpond turtle), 499 nucleotides long. NCBI's taxonomy places the organism in Eukaryota, Metazoa, Chordata, Testudines, Geoemydidae. The record is from the annotation of a RefSeq genome assembly.